This 406-nucleotide ribosomal RNA is filed under the name uncultured bacterium. RNAcentral describes it as "partial 16S ribosomal RNA". It matches the Rfam family "Bacterial small subunit ribosomal RNA", at positions 30 to 526 of the family's 1533-position model. The record is from RNAcentral.
AUUGAACGCUGGCGGCAGGCCUAACACAUGCAAGUCGAACGAGUGGCGGACGGGUGAGUAAUGUCUGGGAAACUGCCUGCUGGAGGGGGAUAACUACUGGAAACGGUAGCUAAUACCGCAUACCAUCUGAUGUGCCCAGAUUGGAUUAGCUAGUAGGUUGGGUAAAGGCUCACCUAGGCGACGAUCCAUAGCUGGUCUGAGAGGAUGACCAGCAACACUGGAAGUGAGACAGGGUCCAGAAGCCUACGGGAGGCAGCAGGGGGUAUAAUUGCACAAUGGGCGCAAGCCUGAUGCAGCCAUGCCGCGUGUAUGAAGAAGGCCUUCGGGGUGUAAAGUACUAUCAGCGGGGAGGCGUUACCCGAAGAAGAAGCACCGGCUAACUCCGUGCCAGCCGCCGCGGUAAUUC